Non-coding RNA from Dentipellis sp. KUC8613, 104 nucleotides. The record is from the annotation of a GenBank genome assembly. Lineage: Eukaryota; Fungi; Basidiomycota; Agaricomycetes; Russulales; Hericiaceae.
GCUUGGUUGGCUCAGCUGGUUAGAGCGCAGGUCUCAUAUUUACGUAUGAGCCGCCCUUCGGCGGAUUAAUCCUGAGGUCGUGAGUUCGAUCCUCACACCGAGCA